RNAcentral lists this ribosomal RNA (468 nucleotides) under uncultured bacterium. Its description in RNAcentral is "partial 16S ribosomal RNA". It matches the Rfam family "Bacterial small subunit ribosomal RNA", at positions 28 to 507 of the family's 1533-position model. The record is from RNAcentral.
GACGAACGCUGGCGGCGUGCUUAACACAUGCAAGUCGAACGGAAAGGCCCUGCUUUUGUGGGGUGCUCGAGUGGCGAACGGGUGAGUAACACGUGAGUAACCUGCCCUUGACUUUGGGAUAACUUCAGGAAACUGGGGCUAAUACCGGAUAGGAGCUCCUGCUGCAUGGUGGGGGUUGGAAAUUUUCGGCGGUUGGGGAUGGACUCGCGGCUUAUCAGCUUGUUGGUGGGGUAGUGGCUUACCAAGGCUUUGACGGGUAGCCGGCCUGAGAGGGUGACCGGCCACAUUGGGACUGAGAUACGGCACAGACUCGUACGGGAGGCAGCGGUGGGGAAUAUUGCACAAUGGGCGGAAGCCUGAUGCAGCAACGCCGCGUGCGGGAUGACGGCCUUCGGGUUGUAAACCGCUUUCGCCUGUGACGAAGCGUGAGUGACGGUAAUGGGUAAAGAAGCACCGGCUAACUACGUG